Molecule: long non-coding RNA, 1656 nt
Organism: Rosa rugosa (rugosa rose)
Lineage: Eukaryota; Viridiplantae; Streptophyta; Magnoliopsida; Rosales; Rosaceae
Exons: 3
Source: RefSeq, a predicted model, not a curated record
CAUAUUUUAUUGGCGUGCUUUUGGGGAUGAUUUGUUUUGAGUGAUGCUAAUUGAGUAGCGAAACGCUUUGUGGGAGUGUUUACUGUGCUUGUAUGCCAGUACAGGGUGAAGAUCUAUGUGAGGAUCUAUGAGAUAAUCUCUGUGAAGAUCUAAGUGAUGAUCUAUGUGAUGAUCCAUGUGAUGAUUUUGUGUAAUUGAUGUGGAGUGAUGUUGAGCAGUUGUGUUGUGAGUUUACGUUUGUGAUGAAAGGAUUUAGUGGCCAUAGGAAUGUAUUUUUAUACAAAGGGCUGAGGCUUUGUAGAUUACUACAGAUUUGGAAAAGAUGGAGAUUCUAUAGUUAGAGUCUGACAUGAGAGUGAAGUAUCCACAGCUCUUUGUGGAAUUGGGUGCUUGAAUUUCGGGACGAAAUUCGUUUAAGGGGGGUAGAUUGUAAUAACCGGAUUUUUUUAUAAUUAAUCAAAAGCAAGGAACAUGAUCAUUUCAUUCUUUACCUUUCAUGAUGAUUGUCGAUUAGAGCACUAUGAAUUGUUGCCGACACUCGAUCGACCGACAGCAGAAACUUAAUUCCUUUCCUCUCUAUUUCUCUCUCGUUUCCUCUCGUCACAGUCGAAGAAACAAAACAGAGCUUUGUUCAUCGUGCUGCACCGUCCACCACAGACCACCAAACAACCUCAGACCACCUUCCACGGCUUCGCCUCGACCUUGCGCAGCUACCGGAGGUAACCUUGCGCGGCGGCACGACCGGCAGCGACGGCGGCGACCCCGAGUCCGGUUUAGCUCGUUUUCGUUCCAAACUCGAUAUCUCGAGCUACAGAGCACCAUUUCACUUGAUUCUUGGCUCAUUGAGCUCGCCUCAUCUUCCUAUACAAGCACCAAGAAGGAUCGGAACUGGAUUGAACGUUUUCACGUUCGUCGGAGCUCGACCCGUGCGGAUCGAACAACCAACCUUCGGAUCAAGAUAUCUCGAGCUAUACACGAUCGUUUCUUGUGAUUCUUGGCUUGUUGAGUUCAUAAGGAAGUUCUGAACAAUUCUCUAGAAGGAAUCGAAGCCUGAAAUUGAAGUUUUGACGUCGAAAUCAAGCCUUGCCGGAUUCUGCAAAAUUCUGGAAUUUUUCCGACCACCGAAGCUUUCGAUCGGUAUAUCUCGAGCUACAGACCAUAUUUUUCUGUGAUUCUUGAACCAGUGAGUUCUUCUUGAGUUUCUUAACAACUCUUCAGAAGGAAUCGAAGCCUUAAAUUGACGUUUUUACGUCGAAUUGGAGCUCGCCGUUUUCUGCAGUUUCUCGCCGGUUUCUGGAAAAUUCCGGCCACCUUCAUACUGUUCAAGGUGGUUGAUGGAUUGAUUGGUGAACGAUUUCGGAUCGUUGUUUUGAGCUGUUAAGAAGACGCAGCGGGAAUUUAGAGCGGGUAAUCCUACAGGACAGGAGAACCAGGACGGUGAUCGUGCGGUUAGAGCAAUGGUUAUAGUUUUACAGCAAUUGUAAUAGUGAGGCGAGUUAAGCGCAUUUGAGCAUUACAAUUUGAUUUGGUGGGAGUGUGCUGUAAUAAAUAACUUGAGGAUUUGGGUUAUUGUAAAUUUGAGAGUUGUGAAGUGUGGUUGUUUGUGAGAAAAAAAUUCAGGAUGUUAGUUGUAAUUUGUUAUUAUUCAUGUUUCGG